GCCUCGCUAGCUCAAUCGGUAGAGCGUGAGACUCUUACUUCUGCGUCACAAGAGUGAUAUCAGAUCUCAAGGCUGCGGGUUCGACCCCCGCGUGGGGCU
This is a non-coding RNA of Auriculariales sp. MPI-PUGE-AT-0066, 99 nucleotides long. The record is from the annotation of a GenBank genome assembly. Lineage: Eukaryota; Fungi; Basidiomycota; Agaricomycetes; Auriculariales.